UGGUUAGAGUGUAGAGGAGGCAGGGUAGCCUAGUGGUUAGAGUGUAGAGGCGGCAGGUAGCCUAGUGGUUAGAGUGUAGAGGAGGCAGGGUAGCCUAGUGGUUAGAGUGUAGAGGUGGCAGGGUAGCCUAGUGGUUAGAGUGUAGAGGAGGCAGGGUAGCCUAGUGGUUAGAGUGUAGAGGAGGCAGGGUAGCCUAGUGGUUAGAGUGUAGAGGAGGCAGGUAGCCUAGUGGUUAGAGUGUAGAGGAGGCAGGGUAGCCUAGUGGUUAGAGUGUAGAGGAGGCAGGUAGCCUAGUGGUUAGAGUGUAGAGGAGGCAGGUAGCCUAGUGGUUAGAGUGUAGAGGAGGCAGGUAGCCUAGUGGUUAGAGUGUAGAGGUGGCAGGUAGCCUAGUGGUUAGAGUGUAGAGGAGGCAGGUAGCCUAGUGGUUAGAGUGUAGAGGAGGCAGGUAGCCUAGUGGUUAGAGUGUAGAGGAGGCAGGGUAGCCUAGUGGUUAGAGUGUAGAGGAGGCAGGUAGCCUAGUGGUUAGAGUGUAGAGGAGGCAGGUAGCCUAGUGGUUAGAGUGUAGAGGCGGCAGGUAGCCUAGUGGUUAGAGUGUAGAGGAGGCAGGUAGCCUAGUGGUUAGAGUGUAGAGGAGGCAGGUAGCCUUGUGGUUAGAGUGUAGAGGCGGCA
This is a long non-coding RNA of Oncorhynchus keta (chum salmon), 669 nucleotides long. RefSeq lists it as uncharacterized. The transcript has 3 exons. NCBI's taxonomy places the organism in Eukaryota, Metazoa, Chordata, Actinopteri, Salmoniformes, Salmonidae. The record is from RefSeq and is a predicted model, not a curated record.